CAUAUUUUUUAGUCAUGAACGGAUGUAUGAAGUACGCAAGAAUUUAAAAUAAUUUGAGAAAAAAAAAUCGAAUAAAAAUUAAUAUUUUCGUGUGGCAUUAAAUCAAAAAAAUGCUUAAAAUUAGUUGGCAAAUGAACUAAAGUGUUGCAGUUACAAAUUGCUGAACCUACUAAAUGAUGCAAAUAGUUUGAAAAAACGGCUGCUAGAAAACUUUGAUGGUUCUUUUGGAAAAAUUGCUGCCACAAAUAUUCAUUUUUGGAAUUCUUUUAAAAAUUUUAACAAUUUGGAAAUGUAAUGUAAAUGUAAAUAUAAAUCAAAUUUGAAGAUGAAUAUUAUUAUUCCAGAUACCACCUAAUUUCUUUAAAUUUCUGCUGUCAUUUUGGCAACUGUCAUGAUGUUAAAACUGCUGGCAGGACAUUAAACUUGCAAACAAUAAAAAUGGCGAUUCGUUAAGACUUGUUAACAUUUCUCUGGAAGGUCAAAAUGCAUUCGGACUUUUAGUUUUUGUUCUGUCAGCUGUUUUAUCAGUGAUCAGUGAUAAACUUUGUUGACACUCGUAAAUAAUCGAUUAAGUUCUGCCCCUGAUGGCUAUGAGUGGAGACUAGAUCAGUGGUCGGUAAAAAUCAGCAAUAAUGAAUAAUUAUCAAAAUCAAUAGCUGCUCAGAUUACAGCAGAAAAAGAAAGUGGAUUACAAGAAUUCCACGUUUUCUAGAUUUUCAAGAUUUUUAAUAUUUUUGUAUGAAGUUUUCUACUCUUUACUUAAUUUGUUAAUGAAAUUAUUAUCUA
Molecule: long non-coding RNA, 786 nt
Organism: Calliphora vicina (urban bluebottle blowfly)
Lineage: Eukaryota; Metazoa; Arthropoda; Insecta; Diptera; Calliphoridae
Exons: 7
Source: RefSeq, a predicted model, not a curated record